Molecule: non-coding RNA, 148 nt
Filed under: Homo sapiens (human)
Lineage: Eukaryota; Metazoa; Chordata; Mammalia; Primates; Hominidae
Source: Rfam by way of RNAcentral
GCCAGGCGUGGUGGCUCAUGCCUGUAAUCCCAGCUACUCAGGAGGCUGAGGCAGGAGAAUUGCUUGAACCCAGGAGGCAGAGGUUGCAGUGAGCUGAGAUCGUGCCACUGCACUCCAGCCUGGGCUACAGAGCGAGACUCUGUCUUAA